RNAcentral lists this unclassified non-coding RNA (1435 nucleotides) under uncultured Neocallimastigales. RNAcentral's name for it is "partial contains small subunit ribosomal RNA, internal transcribed spacer 1, 5.8S ribosomal RNA, internal transcribed spacer 2, and large subunit ribosomal RNA". The stretch from base 659 to 1435 matches the Rfam family "Eukaryotic large subunit ribosomal RNA", at positions 1 to 628 of the family's 3401-position model. The record is from RNAcentral. Lineage: Eukaryota; Fungi; Neocallimastigomycota; Neocallimastigomycetes; Neocallimastigales.
UUUCCGUAGGUGAACCUGCGGAAGGAUCAUUAAAAAAUUGGACUCCAUUGGUGAGUUCAUUAAUAAUCCCUACCCUUUGUGAAUUUGUUUGUUUGAAUAAUUUUUUUUCCAAAAAAAUUAUUGAAUGUCUUUCCUUGUUUUGGUGGAGCUUGUAAAGUGAAACCAGGCAGGGGAAUGGCAAACAAUAAUUAUUUUUGAAAAAGACCUUUUUUUAAAAUUAAACUUUUUGUAUUCAUUUGUCUAAAAUUAAUUUUUAUAAUAUAAAAACAACUUUUGACAAUGGAUCUCUUGGUUCUCGCAACGAUGAAGAACGCAGCAAAAUGCGAUAAGUAGUGUGAAUUGCAGAAUACGUGAAUCAUCGAAUCUUCGAACGCAUAUUGCACUUUUUUAGUUUACUAAAAAAGUAUGUCUGUUUGAGUAUCAGUAAAAUAUUCUCAUAAAAAACAUUGUUUUUUUUAUGGUUAUGAGUGUUUUACAACGAUAACAAGUUGUUUCACUUUAAAUUCUUUGUUAUCAAAAAAAUCAUUAAAAGCUAAUUUUAAAGAUUUUUUAAAUUGGAUAAAAUUUUCCCGUAAAAAGGAAUAACCUAAACAAUUUUAAAAAAUUAAAAUUGGUUUGAUUUUUUUGAAACCCAAAGGAAAAAAAAACGAAAUUAACUUGAUCUCAAAUCAGAUAAGAGUACCCGCUGAACUUAAGCAUAUCAAUAAGCGGAGGAAAAGAAACUAACUAGGAUUCCCUCAGUAACGGCGAGUGAAGCGGGAAGAGCUCAAAUUUGAAAUCUUCAAGGUUUUACCUUGACGAAUUGUAGUUUAAAGAAGUGUUUUCUGUUGGAGUUUUGGUAAAAGUUCUUUGGAAAGGACAUCAUAGAGGGUGAGAAUCCCGUAUUUGACCAUUAUCUCCAGCUUUGUGAUACACUUUCAAAGAGUCGGAUUGUUUGGGAAUGCAGUCCAAAAUGGGUGGUAAAUUUCAUCUAAAGCUAAAUACUGGCGAGAGACCGAUAGCGAACAAGUACCGUGAGGGAAAGAUGAAAAGAACUUUGAAAAGAGAGUUAAACAGUACGUGAAAUUGUCAAAAGGGAAGCGUUUGACACCAGUGUUGUUUUCUCGAAAAUCAAUUAAAAAAGGCCGGAUUUUGUGUUGUAUUGACUUUAUCAGCUUUCUGCACUCUUUUCUUGUCUUUUUUAAUGCACUUUUCGUUUAACAAGUCAACAUCAAUUUCUUUUGUUGUAAAAGGGUCAUUGGAAGGUGGCUUUCUUUUCGGAGAAAGUGUUUAUAGCCUUUGGCCUCUGCAAUCGGAGAGAUCGAGGUCUGCAGCGUAGAUCCUUCGGGGUUAGAUACAUUUGUGCUAAGUUAUAGCCUUUCAUAGACAACUUGUUGACUAUGAUCAGUCAUGUAGCUUACUCGCUUAUGCUAUUUUACCUACGCUUAGGAUGUUG